RNAcentral lists this ribosomal RNA (492 nucleotides) under uncultured bacterium. RNAcentral describes it as "partial 16S ribosomal RNA". It matches the Rfam family "Bacterial small subunit ribosomal RNA", at positions 29 to 507 of the family's 1533-position model. The record is from RNAcentral.
AGUGAACGCUGGCGGUAGGCCUAACACAUGCAAGUCGAACGGCAGCACAGUAAGAGCUUGCUCUUACGGGUGGCGAGUGGCGGACGGGUGAGGAAUACAUCGGAAUCUACUUUUUCGUGGGGGAUAACGUAGGGAAACUUACGCUAAUACCGCAUACGACCUACGGGUGAAAGCAGGGGAUCUUCGGACCUUGCGCGAUUGAAUGAGCCGAUGUCGGAUUAGCUAGUUGGCGGGGUAAAGGCCCACCAAGGCGACGAUCCGUAGCUGGUCUGAGAGGAUGAUCCGACACACUGGAACUGAGAAACGGUCCAGACUCCUACGGGAAGCAGCAGUGGGGAAUAUUGGACAAUGGAGGCAAGCCUGAUCCAGCCAUACCGCGUGGGUGAAGAAGGCCUUCGGGUUGUAAAGCCCUUUUGUUGGGAAAGAAAAGCAGCAGGUUAAUACCCCGCUGUUCUGACGGUACCCAAAGAAUAAGCACCGGCUAACUUCGUG